GUUUGAUCCUGGCUCAGGAUGAACGCUGGCGGCGUGCCUAAUACAUGCAAGUCGAACGCUUCACUUCGGUGAAGAGUGGCGAACGGGUGAGUAAUACAUAAGUAACCUGGCAUCUACAGGGGGAUAACUGAUGGAAACGUCAGCUAAGACCGCAUAGGUGUAGAGAUCGCAUGAACUCUAUAUGAAAAGUGCUACGGGACUGGUAGAUGAUGGACUUAUGGCGCAUUAGCUUGUUGGUAGGGUAACGGCCUACCAAGGCGACGAUGCGUAGCCGACCUGAGAGGGUGACCGGCCACACUGGGACUGAGACACGGCCCAGACUCCUACGGGAGGCAGCAGUAGGGAAUUUUCGGCAAUGGGGGAAACCCUGACCGAGCAACGCCGCGUGAAGGAAGAAGUAAUUCGUUAUGUAAACUUCUGUCAUAGAGGAAGAACGGUGGAUAUAGGGAAUGAUAUCCAAGUGACGGUACUCUAUAAGAAAGCCACGGCUAACUACGUGCCAGCAGCCGCGGUAAUACGUAGGUGGCGAGCGUUAUCCGGAAUUAUUGGGCGUAAAGAGGGAGCAGGCGGCACUAAGGGUCUGUGGUGAAAGAUCGAAGCUUAACUUCGGUAAGCCAUGGAAACCGUAGAGCUAGAGUGUGUGAGAGGAUCGUGGAAUUCCAUGUGUAGCGGUGAAAUGCGUAGAUAUAUGGAGGAACACCAGUGGCGAAGGCGACGAUCUGGCGCAUAACUGACGCUCAGUCCCGAAAGCGUGGGGAGCAAAUAGGAUUAGAUACCCUAGUAGUCCACGCCGUAAACGAUGAGUACUAAGUGUUGGGGGUCAAACCUCAGUGCUGCAGUUAACGCAAUAAGUACUCCGCCUGAGU
RNAcentral lists this ribosomal RNA (866 nucleotides) under human gut metagenome. RNAcentral's name for it is "bacterial SSU rRNA". It matches the Rfam family "Bacterial small subunit ribosomal RNA", at positions 11 to 878 of the family's 1533-position model. The record is from RNAcentral.